UGAGGAAUAUUGGUCAAUGGGCGAUAGCCUGAACCAGCCAAGUAGCGUGAAGGAUGAAGGCUCUAUGGGUCGUAAACUUCUUUUAUAUAAGAAUAAAGUGCAGUAUGUAUACUGUUUUGUAUGUAUUAUAUGAAUAAGGAUCGGCUAACUCCGUGCCAGCAGCCGCGGUAAUACGGAGGAUCCGAGCGUUAUCCGGAUUUAUUGGGUUUAAAGGGAGCGUAGGUGGACUGGUAAGUCAGUUGUGAAAGUUUGCGGCUCAACCGUAAAAUUGCAGUUGAUACUGUCAGUCUUGAGUACAGUAGAGGUGGGCGGAAUUCGUGGUGUAGCGGUGAAAUGCUUAGAUAUCACGAAGAACUCCGAUUGCGAAGGCAGCUCACUGGACUGCAACUGACACUGAUGCUCGAAAGGGUGGGUAUCAAACAGG
This 424-nucleotide ribosomal RNA is filed under the name Fusobacteriota bacterium. RNAcentral's name for it is "Fusobacteria bacterium partial 16S ribosomal RNA". It matches the Rfam family "Bacterial small subunit ribosomal RNA", at positions 355 to 776 of the family's 1533-position model. Lineage: Bacteria; Fusobacteriati; Fusobacteriota. The record is from RNAcentral.